GUCGAGGUGAACGAGACUCUGUGUUAGUGAAACGGGCACAAGAAAAAAUGCCACAAAAAGACAUUUCCAUUUCUUCGAGGAUUUUUAAAGAGGAGUGGUGUUACUCAGCUUGUCACAGGAUAUCUACCAAGUGUUGUAUUAAUUUUGUUUUCCUACAUAGUUCCUCCAUUGAUGAUGCUAUUUUCUAAAAUGGAGGGCUCUAUCU
Molecule: unclassified non-coding RNA, 205 nt
Filed under: Hevea brasiliensis (rubber tree)
Lineage: Eukaryota; Viridiplantae; Streptophyta; Magnoliopsida; Malpighiales; Euphorbiaceae
Source: RNAcentral